AACGACUCUCGGCAACGGAUAUCUCGGCUCUCGCAUCGAUGAAGAACGCAGCAAAAUGCGAUACUUGGUGUGAAUUGCAGAAUCCCGUGAAUCAUCGAGUUUUUGAACGCAAGUUGCGCCCGAAGCCUUNNGGCCAAGGGCACGUCUGCCUGGGUGUCACGC
Molecule: ribosomal RNA, 162 nt
Filed under: Mallotus polyadenos
Lineage: Eukaryota; Viridiplantae; Streptophyta; Magnoliopsida; Malpighiales; Euphorbiaceae
Description: 5.8S ribosomal RNA
Rfam family: 5.8S ribosomal RNA
About the family: 5.8S ribosomal RNA (5.8S rRNA) is a component of the large subunit of the eukaryotic ribosome. It is transcribed by RNA polymerase I as part of the 45S precursor that also contains 18S and 28S rRNA. Functionally, it is thought that 5.8S rRNA may be involved in ribosome translocation.
Source: RNAcentral